GACGAACGCUGGCGGCGUGCUUAACACAUGCAAGUCAAGGGGCCGUGCAAGGCGAACCGGCGAACGGGUGCGUAACACGUGAGCAAGCUUCCGAUUUGUGGGGGAGUAGCCGGCCCAACGGCCGGGUAAUACCGCAUACGUUCACUGGACGGCAUCGUCUGGUGAGGAAACCUCCGGGGCAAAUCGAGGCGCUCGCGGCCUAUCAGCUAGUUGGCGGGGUAAUGGCCCACCAAGGCUACGACGGGUAGCUGGUCUGAGAGGAUGGCCAGCCACAUUGGGACGUGCGACACGGCCCAGACUCCUACGGGAGGCAGCAGUGGGGAAUAUUGCGCAAUGGACGAAAGUCUGACGCAGCGACGCCGCGUGUGGGAUGAAGCCUUUCGGGGCGUAAACCACUGUUGCCCGGGACGAAACUCCUUUUUCGAGAGGAUUGACGGUACCGGGUGAGGAAGCACCGGCUAACUCUGUGCCAGCAGCCG
RNAcentral lists this ribosomal RNA (479 nucleotides) under uncultured bacterium. Its description in RNAcentral is "bacterial SSU rRNA". It matches the Rfam family "Bacterial small subunit ribosomal RNA", at positions 28 to 517 of the family's 1533-position model. The record is from RNAcentral.